CAGCAGCCGCGGUAAUACGGAGGGGGCUAGCGUUGUUCGGAAUUACUGGGCGUAAAGCGCACGUAGGCGGCUUGGUAAGUUAGAGGUGAAAGCCUGGAGCUCAACUCCAGAAUUGCCUUUAAGACUGCCGAGCUAGCAGGUGAGAGAGGUAAGCGGAAUUCCGAGUGUAGAGGUGAAAUUCGUAGAUAUUCGGAAGAACACCAGUGGCGAAGGCGGCUUACUGGCUCAUACUGGACGCUGAGGUGCGAAAGCGUGGGGAGCAAACAGGAUUAGAUACCCGAGUAGUCCCUGUCUCUUAUAC
Molecule: ribosomal RNA, 301 nt
Filed under: uncultured bacterium
Lineage: Bacteria
Description: partial 16S ribosomal RNA
Rfam family: Bacterial small subunit ribosomal RNA
Source: RNAcentral